This is a non-coding RNA of Callithrix jacchus (white-tufted-ear marmoset), 10460 nucleotides long. NCBI's taxonomy places the organism in Eukaryota, Metazoa, Chordata, Mammalia, Primates, Cebidae. The record is from RefSeq and is a predicted model, not a curated record.
UUCCUGCAAGGAGGGAGGGCGGGGCGGUAGCAGAGUCGGCCUAGGUGGAGAGACUGGGCAGAGGGCAGAGCAGGAGGGCUGGCUCCAUCUUUCUCAUUCCCUGGUCUUCUCCUUGGGGUCCUAGAGGGUCUGAACACCCGGAUUCCUGCCCCUUCCCACUUCCCCGUGGCUGCAGCCUCCUGCCAUCACUGACACCCUUAGGUGAGUGUCUUACAGCAUGGAACAGCACCGACACCCUGAGGUGAAUGUCCUACAGCCUGGAACAGCACCCAGCACCCUCAGGUGACAGACUGGAACAGCACUGACACCCUCAGGUGAGUGUCCUACAUCCUGCAACAGCACCCAACACCCUCAGGUGAGUGUGUUACAGCAUGGAAUAGCAUUGACACCCUCAUGUGAGUGUCCUACAGACUACGACAGCACCCAACACCCUCAGGUCAGUGUCUUACAGCCUGGAACAGCACCCAGUACUGUCAGGUGAGUCUUAAAGCCUGAAACAGCACCCAACACCAUUAGGUGAGUCUCUUACAACCUGGAACAGCACCCAAUACCUUCAGGUGAGGGUCUUACAGCCAGGAACAGCACCCAACACCCUCAGGUGAAUGUCUUACAGCCUGAAACAGCACCCAACACCCUCAGGUGAGUGUCUUACAGCCUGGAACAGCACCCAACACCCUCAGGUCAGUGUCUUACAGCCUGGAACAGCACCCAAUACCGUCAGGUGAGUCUUACAGCCUGGAAGAGCAUCCAACACUAUUAGGUGAGUGUCUUACAGCCUGGAACAGCACCCAAUACCUUCAGGAGAGUGUCUUACAGCUUGGAACAGCACCCAACACCCUCAGGUGAGUGUCUUACAGCCUGGAACAGCACCCAACACCCUCAGGUCAGUGUCUUACAGCCUGGAACAGCACCCAAUACCGUCAGGUGAGUCUUACAGCCUGAAACAGCACCCAACACCCUCAGGUGAGUGUCUUACAGCCUGGAACAGCACCCAACACCCUCAGGUGAGUGUCUUACAGCCUGGAACAGCACCCAACACCCUCAGGUCAGUGUCUUACAGCCUGGAACAGCACCCAAUACCGUCAGGUGAGUCUUACAGCCUGGAAGAGCAUCCAACACUAUUAGGUGAGUGUCUUACAGCUUGGAACAGCACCCAACACCCUCAGGUGAGUGUCUUACAGCCUGGAACAGCACCCAGCACCCUCAGGUGAGUGUCUUACAGCCUGGAACAGCACCCAACACCCUCAGGUGAGUGUCUUACAGCCUGGAACAGCACCCAACACCCUCAGGUGAGUGUCUUACAGCCUGGAACAGCACCCAACACCCUCAGGAGAGUGUCUUACAGCCUGGAACAGCACCCAACACCCUCAGGUGAGUGUCUUACAGCCUAGAACAGCACCCAACACCCUCAGGUGAGUGUCUUACAGCCCGGAACAGCACCCAACACCCUCAGGUCAGUAUCUUACAGCCCGGAACAGUACCCAACACCCUCAGGUGAGUGUCUUACAGCCUGGAACAGUACCCAACACCCUCAGGUGAGUGUCUUACAGCGUGGAACAGUACCCAGCACCCUCAGGUGACUGUCUUACAGCCUGGAAUAGCACCCAACACCCUCAGGUGAGUGUCUUACAGCCUGGAAGAGCACCCAGCACCCUCAGGUGAGUGUCUUACAGCCGGGAACAGUACCCAACACCGUCAGGUGAUUCUUACAGCCUGGAACAGCACACAACACCAUUAGGUGAGUCUCUUACAACCUGGAACAGCACCCAACACCAUUAGGUGAGUCUCUUACAACCUGGAACAGCACCCAACACCCUCAGGUGAGUGUCUUACAGCCCGGAACAGUACCCAACACCCUCAGGUCAGUGUCUUACAGCCCGGAACAGUACCCAACACCCUCAGGUGAGUGUCUUACAGCCUGGAACACCACCCAACACCCUCAGGUGAGUGUCUUUUAGCCUGGAACAGCACACAGCACCCUCAGGUCAGUGUCUCACAGCCUGGAACAGCACCCAAUACCGUCAGGUGAGUCUUACAGCUUGGAACAGCACCCAACACCAUUAGGUGAGUUUCUUACAACCUGGAACAGCACCCAGUACCUUCAGGUGAGUGUCUUACAGCCUGGAGCAGCACCCAGCACCCUCAGGUGAGUGUCUUACGGCCUGGAACAGCACCGAACACCCUCAGGUGAGUGUCUCACGGCCUGGAACAGCACCCAACACCCUCAGGUGAGUGUCUUACAGCCCGGAACAGUACCCAAUACCAUCAGGUGAGUCUUACAGCCUGGAACAGCACCCAACACCCUCAGGUGAGUGUCUUACAGCCCGGAACAGUACCCAAUACCAUCAGGUGAGUCUUACAGCCUGGAACAGCACCCAACAUUAUUAGGUGAGUCUCUUACAACCUGGAACAGCACCCAGUACCUUCAGGUGAGUGUCUUACAGCCUGGAACAGCACCCAACACCCUCAGGUGAGUGUCUUACGGACUGGAACAGCACCGAACACCCUCAGGUGAGUGUCUUACAGCCUGGAACAGUACCCAACACCCUCAGGUCAGUGUCUUACAGCCCGGAACAGUACCCAACACCCUUAGGUGAGUGUUUUACAGCCUGGAACAGCACUCAACACCCUCAGGUGAAUGUCUUAUAGCCUGGAACAGCACCCAGCACCCUCAGGUCAGUGUCUUACAGCCUGGAACAGCACCCAAUACCGUCAGGUGAGUCUUACAGCCUGGAACAGCACCCAACACCAUUAGGUGAGUUUCUUACAACCUUGAACAGCACCCAAUACCUUCAGGUGAGUGUCUUACAGCCUGGAACAGCACCCAACACCCUCAGGUGAGUGUCUUACGGCCUGGAACAGCACCGAACACCCUCAGGUGAGUGUCUUACAGCCUGGAACAGCACCCAACACCCUCAGAUGAGUGUCUUACAGCCCGGAACAGUACCCAAUACCAUCAGGUGAGUCUUACAGCCUGGAACAGCACCCAACACCCUCAGGUGAGUGUCUUAUAGCCUGCAACAGCACUGACACCCUCUGGUGAGCGUGUGACAGCCUGGAAUAGCACCCAGCACCCUCAAGUGAGUGUCUUAGAGUUUGGAACAGCACCCAACACCCUUAGAUGAGUGUCUUACAGCCCGGAACAGUACCCAACACCCUAACGUGAGUGUCUUAUAGCCCGGAACAGCACCCAGCACCCUCAGGUGAGUGUCUUACAGCCUGGAACAGCACCCAACACCCUCAGGUGAGUGUCUUACAGCCCGGAACAGCACCCAACACCCUCAGGUGAGUGUCUUACAGCCUGGAACAGCACACAGCACCCUCUAGUGAGUGUCUUACAGCCUGAAGUAGCACCUAACACCCUCAAGUGAGUGUGUCAGUCUGGACCAGCACCCACCACCCUCAUGGGAGUGUCUUAUAGCCUGGAACAGCAUCCAGUGUUCUCAGGUGAGUGUCUUACAGCCUGAAACAAUACCAAAACCCUCAGGUGAGUAUGUGACAGCCUGGAACAGCAUUCUCCAACUGCAGAUAAGCAUCUGACAACAUGGAACAAGACCCCACAGUACCAGAUAGGUGUUCGUCUGAUAGCAUAAACAGCACCCUACACCUCCAGGUGAAAAUCUGAUCACCUUUAUGGCACCCCACACUCCCAGGUGAGCAUCUGACUGCCCGGAACAGCAUCCCACCCACAGGUAAGCAGCUGACAGCUUGGAAUGGCAACACACACCUAAAGGCAAGCAUCUGAUGGCCUGGAACACCACUCGACACUUCCAGGUGAAUAUCAGGCAGUCUGCAAUGGUACUCCACACACCCAGGUGAGCAUCUGACAGCCUGCAACAGCAUCCCACCCCCAAGUGACUAUGUGACAGCCUGGAACAGCAUUCUCCAAUCCCAGGUGAGUAUUGGACAACCUGGAACAGAAUCUCACUCUUCCAGGUGAGGAUCUGACAGCAUAAAACAGCAUUCUACAUCCCGAGGUGAGCAUCUGACAGCAUUGAAUGACACCUCACACUCCAAAAUAAGCAUUUGGUAGUGUGGAACAAAACCCCAUAUCCCCAUGUGAGCAUUUGAUAGCCUGGAAUGGCUCCCCUACCCUAGGUAUGCAUCUGUCAGCCUGAAACAGCACCCUCCACCAUCAGGUGAGCAUCUGACAACCGGAAACUGUACAGUAUAACCCCAGGUGAGCAUCUGACAGCAUGGAACAACUCCCCGACCCACAGAUGAGCAUCUAACUGCCUGGAACAGCACUUCUGCUCAGGUGACAGCCUGGAAGAGCUGUUGCCAUCUUCAGGUGAGCAUUUCACAGUCUGAAACAAACCCACCCACAGGUGAGCCUCUGACAGCCUGGAAUGGCACCCUUCAUCACCAGGUAAGCAUCUUACAGCCUAGACCAGCACUCCACACCAUGAAAUGAGCACCAGACAGCCUGGAAUGGCACCCCACACCUUCAGGUGAGCAUGAGGAAGCCUGGAAUCACACCCACACCUCCAGGUGAAAGUGUAACAGCCUGAGACAGCAUUCUCUAAUGACAGGUGAGGACCUGACAACCUGGAACAGAACCCCACACCCUCAGGUGAGCCUCUGACAGCCUAGAAUGGCACCCCACACUCCCACGUGAGCAUCUCAUAGACUGGAAGGGCAUUCCACAAACCCAAAUGAACUUGUGACAAGCCAUAACAGAACCCCCACCCCCAAGUGGGCACCUGACAGCCUAAAGCAGCACCCUCCACCCCCAGGGGAGCAUCUGACUGCUUAGAACGACACCAUCAUACUCAGGUGAGCAUCUGACAAGCUGGAUCAACACGCAAACCUUCAGGAAAGCAUAUGACAGCCUGGCCCGCAGCCUUCACAUUCAGGUGAGCAUCUGAUAGUUUUAAACGGCAGCCUACAACCUCAGGUCAGCAUCGGACAGCCUGGGACAGCAUUCUCUAACCCCAGGUGAACAUCUGACAGCCUGAAAAAGCACCCCCACACCCUCAGUUGAGCAUCUGAUGGGCUGGAACAGCAGCCCACACCCCCAGGUGAGCAUCUGACGGGCUGGAACAGCAGCCCACACCCCCAGGUGAGCAUCUGAUGGGCUGGAACAGCAGCUUACACCCUCAGGUGAGAAUCUGACGGGCUGGAACAGCAGCCCACAUUCCCAGGUGAGAAUCUGACGGGCUGGAACAGCAGCCCACAUUCUCAGGUGAGAAUCUGAUGGGCUGAAACAGCAGCCCACACUCUCAGGUGAGCAUCUGACGGGCUGGAACAGCAGCCCACACCCUCAGGUGAGCAUCUGACGGGCUGGAACAGCAGCCCACACUCCCAGGUGAGAAUCUCACGGGCUGGAACAGCAGCCCACACUCCCAGGUGAGCAUCUGACAGGCUGGAACAGCAGCCCACAUCCUCAGGUGAGCAUCUGACGGGCUGGAACAGCAGCCCACACUCCCAGGUGAGCAUGUCUUGUCAUGAACCUGGGAGUGGACCCCUCCUGCCCCUGCCCUGCAUCCUAUUGUGUAGACAGCUCAGGCUAGUACCCAAGAGGGUGACCAGUGGUCUCACAGGGGACAUUCCUUGUGUCCUGCCUGUUUACAGGCUAAAGGAACCACUCUUCAGCCACAACUCCUUUUCCGCCCCACCUGCAUUCACCGGAGGUUGAUGGGAGCGCUGUGUAGGAGACAGGAAGGAGAGGGGCAGGCAGCACCUGAGCACAUCCCCAGGGUGCCUCCUCUGAUCCCCAGGAGGGGCAGCACCCACCCUGCUCUUUCUCCAACUUGUUUUUAUUGUGGUACAAUAUACAUAACGUAAAACUUACCUUCUUAAUUGUUUUGAUGUGCGCAGUUGGUGGCAUUAUAUACAUGUGUAAUGUAGCCAUCACCACCAUCCCUUUCCAGAACCAGCUCAUCUUCCCAAACUGAAACUCUCUCCCUGAUAAACACUCUCCAUUCACCUCCCCCAACCCCAGGCACCCAGCAUCUUACUUCCUGGCUCUGUGAUUCAAUGACUCCAGGGACCUCAUAGAAGUGGAAUCACACAGUGUUUGUCCUUUUGUGGUGGCUGCUUAUUUCACUGAGAUAAUGUGCUCGAGGUUCAUCCAUGUCAUAGAGUGUACCGGAAUUUCCUUCCUUUUUAAGGCUGAAUACUUCCCCAUUGUAUGGAUGGACCCCGUUUUGCUUAUCCGCCCAUCCAUCAGUGGACCCUGGGUGCCUUCCUCAUCCAGGCUCUUGUGAGCAAGGCUGCCAUCUAUGAACUUGGGUGUACAAAUAUCUCUGAAAGACCCUGCUUCCAUUUCUUUUGGGUACAGACCCAGAUGUGGAACUGCUCGGUCAUAUGGUAGUUCUAUUUUUAACUUUUUGGGACAUGGCCAUCCCCUUUUCCAGAGUGCUGCACCAUUUUACCUUCCCACCAACAGUGCAGAAGGUUCCAGUUUCUUCACAUCCCCACCAACACUUGUUAUUUUCUUUUUAAAAAACUUUAUGGCCAGGUGCGGUGGUUCACACCUGUAAUCCCAGCACUUUGGGAGGCUGAGGUGGGCUGAUCCCCUGAGGUCAGGAGAUCAAGAGCAUGCUGGCCAGCAUGGUGAAACCCCGUCUCUACUAAGAAUACAAAAAACUAGCCGGGAGUGGUGGUGGGUACCUGUAAUCCAGGCUGAGGCAAGAGAAUUGCUUGAACUCGGGAGGCAGAGGUUGCAGUGAGCCAAGAUCAUGCCACUGCACUCCAGCCUGGGCAAUAGAGUGAGACUCCACCUCAAAAAAAAAAAAAAAAAAAAUCCAAAAAGCAAACAAACAAAACUUUACAGUAGCCAUCCGACAGGAAUGAGGUGUGUCUCACUGUUGUUCUGAUCUGUGCUCCCUGAUGAUUGGUGAGGUCCAGCAUCUUUUCAUGUGCUCCGUGUCCGUGUGUAUCUUUUUUUAGGGAAAUGUCCACUUAAGUCCUUUGCUCAUUUUUGAAUUGGGUUUUGGCUUUAUUGUUGUUGAGCUUUAGGACUUUUCUGUGGAUUCUGGAUAUUGAUUCCUGAUCUGUGAUUUUCAAAUAUUGUGGUUUUCUUCUAUCCUGUCAGUUGCCUUUUUCCUCUGUUAUAAUAGUGUCCUUUGGGGCAUAAAAGUUGUAAUUUUCAUGAAAUCCAACUUUAUUUUUUCUUUUGCUGCCUGUGUGUUUGGUGUUGUGGCCCAGAAGUCAUGGCCAAAUCCAACACUGUGAAGCUUCCCCCAACCAUGUUUACUUCUAAGACAUUUAUAGUUUCAGAUUUUUUGAUCUAUUUUGAAUUAAUUUUUGUAUGUGGUGUUGGGAAAGAGUCCAAUUUCAUUCUUUUGCAUAGUUUUCCCUGCAACAUUUGUGGAAAAGACUGUCCCUCUCCACUGAAUGGUCUUGGUCAAAUCAUUUGACCAUAUUUGGGAGGGUUCAUUUCUGGCUCUCUAUUCUGUUCCAUUGGUCUCUGUGUCUGUUUUUGUGCCAGUACCACACUAUUUUGAUCACUGUAGCUUUGUAGUAAGUUUUAAAAUCAGGAAGUGUGAAACUGCCAGCUUGUUGAUUCUUUUUCAGAAUUGUUUUGGCUGUUUGCAGUCCCCUAAGAGUCCACAGGAAUUUUAGAUUUUAGCUUUUCCAUUUCUGUAAAAAACAUUGAAAUGUUGACAGGAAUUGCAGUCAAUCUAUAGAUCACUUUGAAUAAUACUGACUUCUUACCAAUAUGAAGUCUUCCAAUCCAUGAACAUGGAAUAUUUCUAUUUAUUUACAUCUUCUUUAAUUUCUUCUAGCAAUGUUUUGUAGUUUUCACCUCAUUGGUUAAUUCUAAGUAUUUUAUUCUUUUUGAUGCUAUUGUAGAUGGAAUUACAGUUGACCCUUGAACAACAUGGGUUAAAACUAUGUGGGUCCAUUAAUAUGUGAUUUUUUUUCAAUAAAUAUAGUCGGCCUUUUGUAUUGGUGGGUUCUGAAUCCACAGCCAAAUAAAUGCAGAUCAAUUCUUGGGAUGUGAAAUCCUUGUAUACAGAGGGCCAACUUUUUGUAUUUAGGGGUUGGAGGUUCCACAGGGCUUGAGUAUGUGGGGAUUUUAGUAUCUGAGGGUUGUCCUGGAACCAAUCACACAUGGAUACCAAGAGAUGACUGUAUUUUAUUAAUUCCCAUUUUGAAUUGUUCAUUAUUAAUGUACAAAAAUGCAACUGAUUUUUCUGUUGCCUUUGUAUCCUACUUUGCUGAAUUCAUUUAUUUGUUCUAACAGUUCGUGUGUGUGUGUGUGUGUGUGUAAUCUUUAGGGAUUUCUUCAUAUCAGAUCUGUGAACAGAGAUAAUUUUAUUUCUUUUCAAAUUUGGAUGAUUGGUAUUUUUUUUCUUGUCUACUUAUCUGGCUCUAACUUCCAGUGCAGUGUUGAGGAGACGUGCAAAAGCAAUCAUCCUUUUCUUAUUCCUGAUCUUAGAGAAGCUUUUCUUUUUCACCAGUGAGUUUGCUGUGGGUUUUGCGUAUAUGGAUUUUAUAUUGAGGCAGUUUCCUUCUAUUCUUAGUUUGCUGAGUGUUCUUAUCAUAAAAGGGUGUUGAAUGUUAUCAAAUGCUUUCCUGCAUCAGUCGAGAUGAUCAUUUUUUCCCGUUCAUUCUGUUAAUAUGGUAUAUUACAUUAAUUGACAUUUGUAUGUUGAACCAUCCUUGCAUUCUAGCAAUAAAUCUCACUUGGUCAUGGUGUGUCAUCCUUUUAACAAUUGCUGAAUUUGUUUUGUUAGUAUUUUGUUGAGGAUUUUUGCCUCAAUAUUCAUACGGGAUAAUGGUCUGUAGGUUCUUGUAGUGUCUUUGGCUAUGGUAGCAGGGUAAUGCUGGUCUCAAAGAAUGAAUGAGGAGGUGUUCCUUCCCCUUUAAAUUUUUGGAAAAGUUUGAGGAUUGGAGAUUGGUGUUAGCUCUUUAAAUGUUUGGUAGAAUUCGCCAGUGAAGCCAUCAGGUCCUGGCCUUUGUUGCGAGAUUGUUGAUUACUGACUCAAUCUUUUUACUAGUUAUAGGUCUAUUCAGACCUUCUAUUUCUUCAUGAUUUAGUCUUGGUAGGUUUUGUGUUUCUAGUGAUUUGCCCACUUCAUCUAGAUUAGCUGAUUUGCUGACUUACAAUUGGUCCUAUUACUAUCUUAUAAUUAUUUUUAUUUCUGUAGAAUGGGUAAUAAUGACUUCAUUUUCAUUUCUGGUUUCAAUGAUUUGAAUUUUCUCUUUCUUAGUCCACCUGGCAAAAGGUUUGUCAAAUUUUAUCUUUUCAAGGAACCAACUUUUGUUUUCAUUGAUUUUUCUCUAUUUAUUCUCCUCUGUUUUGUUGAUCUUUGCUGUAAUCUCCUUUCUCCCUCCCUUCCUCCCCUCCCUCCCUUCCUUCUUUCCUUAGUUUAUCCCUCCCUCCCCUUCUUUCCUUUCUUCCUUUCUUUUUUCUCUCUUUCUUUCUUUCUGUUCAUUUGUUCUUUUUCUAGUUUCUUAAGUUAUAAAAUAGGUUGCUGACUUGAGAUCUUUCUUCUUUUUUAAUGGAAGCAUUUACAGCUAUACAUUUCCCCUCAGCAUUGCUUUCCCUGUGUCUCAUGAUGUGGGGUGUGUUGUUUUCCUUUUCACUCAUCUCUAAGCAUUGUCUGACUUCUUUUGUGAUUUCUGCUGUAAUUCAUUGGUUGUUUAGCCCCCUCCUCCUUUUACAGUGGAGGAAACUGAGGCCUGGGGAGGUGAAGUGAUUUGGCUGCGGUUGCUUAGCUGGACCUGGACCAGACUUUUCUGGGCUCCACAGAGACAGUGCUCAGGGCAACAGGCUUGGGCUGAGCACACAGGUCCAGUGUGAGUCCCUCAGAGUUAGACAACAUGGAAUUCAGUGCAGUUGCAAGAAAGGAAUGCUCAUAAACAAACAGAACAGAAACCAUCUUCCAGCACAUAGGCCUCCCCCAGCUGAGUGGGAUCUGUCUUCUUGCCAGUGCCCCUCUUCCAACUUUAAAUUUGGAGCAGUUUCUGCAGAAGAAAGUCUUAAAUGCAUAGAUACUGAACUUCAGAGCAGGUACAUGAAGCUCAGAUCAGGGUCCAGGGGCUGCACCCCUGCACCUGUCUGUGGCAGACAUGGCUGACCAAGGCCAGCAGCUACUCCCUCUGUGCAUGUCCUCCAAACUCCUCUCAACACAGGGGCCAGGCAGCCCCACCAGUGUAGCCAAGGGCACACCUCCUGGCCAACACCCCAGAGGGACCCCUGCAUGCACUGAGUGUUAUUGAAGCUGGGGAGGACCCCUAGUACCUCCGAAGGCUUGCAUGUCUAUCCAUGCAGACUGAGGCUGGGAGGAUGAAAGGGCAGGACUCCCAGAAACUGGGUUUGUGGGGACCAGGCUCCCAUGAGCCGCAGUACAGGUGGGGAUGGGAGCACAAGUUUCAGUGGGCAUCUCACUGUUCAGGACGGCUUACCCGGCUCCCUGUCUCCUUGGGGUAGAGGAAGGCAGCACCCUGGGUCCCCCUCCCCUGCUUGCCCAGGCCCAGGUGGGGAAUGGGGCGGCACCUGCAGC